This 475-nucleotide ribosomal RNA is filed under the name uncultured bacterium. RNAcentral describes it as "SSU rRNA". It matches the Rfam family "Bacterial small subunit ribosomal RNA", at positions 26 to 518 of the family's 1533-position model. The record is from RNAcentral.
AGGACGAACGCUGGCGGCGUGCUUAACACAUGCAAGUCGAACGGUAAGGCCUUUCGGGGUACACGAGUGGCGAACGGGUGAGUAACACGUGGGUGAUCUGCCCUGCACUUUGGGAUAAGCCUGGGAAACUGGGUCUAAUACCGAAUAUGACCAUGGGAUGCAUGUCUUGUGGUGGAAAGCUUUUGCGGUGUGGGAUGGGCCCGCGGCCUAUCAGCUUGUUGGUGGGGUUACGGCCUACCAAGGCGACGACGGGUAGCCGGCCUGAGAGGGUGUCCGGCCACACUGGGACUGAGAUACGGCCCAGACUCCUACGGGAGGCAGCAGUGGGGAAUAUUGCACAAUGGGCGAAAGCCUGAUGCAGCGACGCCGCGUGAGGGACGAAGGCCUUCGGGUUGUAAACCUCUUUCAGCACAGACGAAGCGCAAGUGACGGUAUGUGCAGAAGAAGGACCGGCCAACUACGUGCCAGCAGCCGC